UAUCAGCAGAGGCUUGUCACCAGACUAG
Molecule: non-coding RNA, 28 nt
Filed under: Rattus norvegicus (Norway rat)
Lineage: Eukaryota; Metazoa; Chordata; Mammalia; Rodentia; Muridae
Source: RNAcentral